CACGUAGGGGGCGAGCGUUGUCCGGAAUCACUGGGCGUAAAGCGUGCGCAGGCGGCCCGUUAAGACAGGUGUGAAAUCCCUGGGCUCAACCUAGGAAUUGCGCUUGUGACUGGCGGGCUCGAGUACGGUAGAGGGGGGUGGAAUUCCUGGUGUAGCAGUGAAAUGCGUAGAGAUCAGGAGGAACACCGAUGGCGAAGGCAGCCCCCUGGGCCUGUACUGACGCUCAUGCACGAAAGCGUGGGGAGCAAACAGG
RNAcentral lists this ribosomal RNA (253 nucleotides) under uncultured microorganism. Its description in RNAcentral is "partial 16S ribosomal RNA". It matches the Rfam family "Bacterial small subunit ribosomal RNA", at positions 524 to 776 of the family's 1533-position model. The record is from RNAcentral.